This is a long non-coding RNA of Triticum aestivum (bread wheat), 1154 nucleotides long. RefSeq lists it as uncharacterized. The record is from RefSeq and is a predicted model, not a curated record. NCBI's taxonomy places the organism in Eukaryota, Viridiplantae, Streptophyta, Magnoliopsida, Poales, Poaceae. The transcript is spliced from 6 exons.
GUCCCCCCAUCCCCACCUCUCUCGCAGCACACAUUCAAUCUAAACCUAAAUCGCCGCCGCCGCCCCCGACCUACCCAUAGAUUUGCUCGCAUCGCCGUCUCUCCCAACACGGCAUCCCACCCAUGGCCGUCCUCUAGUCCUGCGUGUUGCCCUGUCAUCCACGGCCGAGGAGUUGCUGCCCCAUCUGCAGCCAAGGCGCCGCCGCCUAGUCCACUGCAUAGGAGCUGGCGAGGAGGCAACUGCAGUUCUGGAGUCGCCCCGCCGUUCUUCUUCCUCCACCAGCGACCCCUGUCCAGAUCGACACCCUUGUCCUGCCCCGACUCCAGGCCACUGCAGGAGAAAAGAUGGAAGGAACAAGAGGUGGAAGUGAGCUCCCUGCAUACGAACAAUCAAGAGUUAGGCUCGUAGCAGACAUGAAUUGGCUGAAGAACUUGGCUAUGACCCACAGAGAGAUGAAAUAUUUGUCAGAGCACAUACACAUAAAAUUGGAGUUCCUACCGCACAAGCAGACACUAAUUAACAACCUGAAGAAGCAGCUGAACCGCCAACAACACUUGCAAUGGAAAUUCAAUUUUGUCGACAAGAUGAACAUGUUUCUACUCUACUAGAGCUCACGGAACAAAUGCAACGAAAAAUUGGAGAGAUGCAUCAAGUUCUCUUUUCUCAAGGAAUCAGAAAUGUCGAAAUACCAGAUUCAUGAAUACAUUCCUGACCUCGCACAUCAAAUCACCGGUCUGAUCUUGUUGUCCAACGACCGAGAGUUCCGAGACGAAUGCGUGGCACUCCUCAGGAAACAUAGGGACAUAUGGCAGAAAGUAGGAAGUCCACAAGUUGAUCUAAGAUGUUCCAGUGAUCGCUUUUGUUCAUUACAUAUGGAAGUUGAUGUCGGCUUGUGAUCGAUGGAUUGGUAUUUUUCAUAUAAGGAAGUUGAUGCUGGCUUGGUGAUUGAAGGAUUGGUCUCUUUCAUAAUUGCUCUCUUAGAAGCUUGCCCCUCAUAUUUUGGAGCAGGUCGCGUCUUGUAUGUAAGACCUAUGUAUUUCCUUAAUAGAUGUAGCUAACUUGAGUGAAGAAAACUAAUGAAUCUUUAAUUUAUGUUGAAUAAAUGUAUUGGUCAAUGGUAUGUUGUGAUGAAUAGAAGAGUAAUUGUUUGUAUA